UGCCACAGUCAGAUUGGAAAGUCAGUCAUU
RNAcentral lists this non-coding RNA (30 nucleotides) under Homo sapiens (human). The record is from RNAcentral. Lineage: Eukaryota; Metazoa; Chordata; Mammalia; Primates; Hominidae.